This 458-nucleotide ribosomal RNA is filed under the name uncultured bacterium. RNAcentral's name for it is "partial 16S ribosomal RNA". It matches the Rfam family "Bacterial small subunit ribosomal RNA", at positions 28 to 507 of the family's 1533-position model. The record is from RNAcentral.
GAUAAACGCUGGCGGCGUGCAUGAGACAUGCAAGUCGAACGAAGGAUCGGGCUUGCUCGAUCCUUAGUGGCGGACGGCUGAGUAACGCGUAGGUGACCUACCCCGAAGUGGGGAAUAACUGCCCGAAAGGGUGGCUAAUACCGCAUGUGGUCGCACGUUCAUUCGUGCGAGUAAAGCCGCAAGGCGCUUCGGGAGGGGCCUGCGUCCGAUUAGCUCGUUGGUGGGGUAAUGGCUUACCAAGGCGACGAUCGGUAGGUGGUCUGAGAGGACGAUCACCCAGACUGGGACUGAGACACGGCCCAGACUCCUACGGGAGGCAGCAGUCGGGAAUUUUGCUCAAUGGGGGAAACCCUGAAGCAGCAACGCCGCGUGAGGGAUGAAGGACUUCGGGUUGUAAACCUCUUUUGUCAGGGACGAUGAUGACGGUACCUGGCGAAUAAGCCACGGCUAACUACGUG